This 954-nucleotide ribosomal RNA is filed under the name Triticum aestivum (bread wheat). Its description in RNAcentral is "partial small subunit ribosomal RNA". The record is from RNAcentral. Lineage: Eukaryota; Viridiplantae; Streptophyta; Magnoliopsida; Poales; Poaceae.
AUGACGAAGACGAUGUAUCUGCUUCUCUACACAGCCGCCUACGGGCGCUACCUCGCCGCCACGGCGCCGCGCGGCCACCGUGCGCGCCGCGUCGUGCAGCGCAACUACAACCAUCCGGAGGAAGAGGCAACGGUUUGGUCUGCCACCCUGUCAGAAUCCGGGAACGAAGUCCUCCUCCACAACUUCCAGGGCGGCUGCCUCCGCGCCAACGCGACGGCCCCGUACCUCGACCGGAACAACAACGUCAGCGUCUACGACAUCGGAAACGUCACCACGAUGAUGCUCUGGGUCGUGGAGCCCAUCCCCGCGAGGGAGGACAUGCCUCCCCUUCCACCUCCGACUGAGGUUCCCUUCCCGGCCGCCAUGUUGGAUUGGCAGGAGAUCCAGUACAUGUGGCCGAACGGCGACCACGGCUCGUUCUGGUUUUGGUGGAGGUCCGUGUUCCACCUGAGGAACGAGCUGGCCAGGCGGCUGGCCAUCGACGUCGCCAACCUCGUCAUGUGCAUCCGCACAGAUAUUGCCUGGGUUACCCCACUCCUCGUCGACCUGCCAAGAAACCACGAGACCCUCCUCAUCGCCGUCGUCGUUGCGGGGACGCCUGGUGUCAGGACCUGCACCGCGCAACUACUGAAGAAGGAGGACGAGCCAAGCAAUCAGUUAAAGAAGCAUAUUGGUCAUCGUGCAGUUCCAUUACCUCAUGUUCCCCUCGUCACUCCAGAUGGAUAUGUCAAAACAAUUCCAGUGGCAGUACUUGAUCGACGAGUCAUUCAGCGCAACAAAACACCAGUGGGACAAUGCUUAGUCCAAUGGGAGAGUCUUGCUCCGGAUGAUGCAACAUGGGAGGAUGCGGCAUUCCUCAACAAAACGUUCCCUGGUCACAAACUGUUUCACCUCGAGGACAAGGCGAUCGUCAAGGCGGCAGCAUUGUCAGGACCUGCACCGCGCAACUACUGA